Molecule: ribosomal RNA, 330 nt
Filed under: uncultured bacterium
Lineage: Bacteria
Description: bacterial SSU rRNA
Rfam family: Bacterial small subunit ribosomal RNA
Source: RNAcentral
UGUGUAGGCGGUCUUUCUAAGUUUGUUGUGAAAUCUCCCGGCUUAACCGGGAGGGUGCGGCGAAGACUGGAAGGCUAGAGUAUGGGAUGGGAGAGUGGAAUUCCUGGUGUAGCGGUGAAAUGCGUAGAUAUCAGGAGGAACACCUGCGGUGUAGACGGCUCUCUGGACCAUUACUGACGCUGAGACACGAAAGCGUGGGUAGCAAACAGGAUUAGAUACCCUGGUAGUCCACGCCCUAAACGAUGCAUAUUUGGUGUGGGCCAUUCAUUUGGUCUGUGCCGGAGCUACGCGUUAAAUAUGCCGCCUGGGGAGUACAGUCGCAAGGCUGAA